AGGUUUUUAUCUAAAACCCCAAAAUACUCUCAAAUAUCACACACUUCGUACUCCCUCUUAUUCCUUCACCUCUAUGCUUCUUACUAUUUUUCUUUAAUACAGAAUGUCUCUUCCUCCUUUCUCCUAUCCCCUAUUUAUAGGAGUGGGGAGCCAUGAGGAAAAAGUUGUCACCAUUAUGUCUUAGAGUUAGGAAUAACAUUCUUGUCAAUCACUUGUUGUUUCUUGUGUUUAGGCUGAAUGACUCAUGGGAAGCCAUUCGUAGAUUGCAUUGAGGCACAGGACACCUCGACUAGAGCCAAGUUUAUGGAACUCUUUCAAGCUAUUCAAAGCCUAACCGUCGUAGUAGCAAGCCUAACAUGACCAGAUUCCUCCUGCCCAUAACUGCUAGCCCUUAGAUGAGACCAUUUCUCACAAUAUUUACUAGUUUCGGAGGCUAAGUCCUCCUUAUUUUGAUGGUAACCCGAUCUUUUGGUUGCAAAAGCUUGGAUUCUGAAGAUUGAGAAACUCUUCUCUGUCUUGGACCUCUCUGAGGAACAGAAGGUCCCUCUUACCACCUUCAUGUUCACGGCCCAUCCGCGAUAACCUUUCC
RNAcentral lists this long non-coding RNA (589 nucleotides) under Carica papaya (papaya). Its description in RNAcentral is "long non-coding RNA (CPAP_LNC016365)". The record is from RNAcentral. Lineage: Eukaryota; Viridiplantae; Streptophyta; Magnoliopsida; Brassicales; Caricaceae.